GUCAUACUAGUGGAUAUUUUCUUUGCUGGGACAAGGUUGCGCUGAACCCUCUCGACGUCAACUUUUAUCGGCUGGAUUCUAGCAUCUAACGUUACGAUUGCCUCUGUUGGGUUUGCUUGAUCAACCAUCGUUUCGGGGACUCUGAUGACAUUGAAGAGCCAGAAAAUGGUGACUUUGCAUCUCUGAGGUACCUUCCAACUCGCCU
Alosa alosa (allis shad) is the source of this 205-nucleotide long non-coding RNA. RefSeq lists it as uncharacterized. The record is from RefSeq and is a predicted model, not a curated record. The transcript is spliced from 3 exons. Lineage: Eukaryota; Metazoa; Chordata; Actinopteri; Clupeiformes; Clupeidae.